This 449-nucleotide ribosomal RNA is filed under the name uncultured bacterium. RNAcentral describes it as "partial 16S ribosomal RNA". It matches the Rfam family "Bacterial small subunit ribosomal RNA", at positions 338 to 795 of the family's 1533-position model. The record is from RNAcentral.
CCUACGGGGGGCUGCAGUGGGGAAUAUUGGACAAUGGGCGCAAGCCUGAUCCAGCAAUACCGCGUGUGUGAAGAAGGCCUGAGGGUUGUAAAGCACUUUUAAUCGGGAGGAAUAGCGGUCGGGUAAUACCCGGUCGUCUGACAUUACCGAUAGAAAAAGCACCGGCUAACUCCGUGCCAGCAGCCGCGGUAAUACGGAGCGUGCAAGCGGGGAUCGGAACGACUGGGCGUAAAUCGUUCAGUGGCGGGUGAAAGCCCCGGGCUUAACCUGGGAACGGCAUUUGAAACUGAUCGACUGGAGUUGGGUAGAGGGGAGUGGAAUUUCAGGUGUAGCGGUGAAAUGCGUAGAUAUCUGAAGGAACACCAGUGGCGAAGGCGGCUCCCUGGACCCAAACUGACGCUGAGGCACGAAAGCGUGGGUAGCAAACAGGAUUAGAUACCCCAGUAGUC